CAGGAGGCUGAGGAACAUUUGGGUUGGGUGUUGGAGCUGUGCUGGCUUUGUUUAUUUCUUUUCAUCAGUUAGAUUCUGUAGGGCAGCCUUAGCGGGGAGCUGCUGUCUCAGACGGUCAACGUGGCUGGCAGGGAGUCUUCCUGGGUUGUCAAGUCGACACCUUAACUCAGAUAGGCUCAGCACAACCGGAUUUGUUUAGCAGAAUUGAUGGGAUCCCACAAGCCUUGAUGGAUUUAACCAGCCAAAUGACAAGUAUAACUCCUAUGUCCGCGGCUCCGCUUCCCCUCUCAGGGAACAUGGUUACCGCUGCUUCCUUCUUGAGUCCAGGGAAACUUCCGCCUGCAGCCGGAACCCUUUUACGGAAAGGUGGAGGACUGUGGUGGUUUCUUCCUGCAAUGUCGGCUAAUUAUUUCACAACCGCCAAGGAAUCCAUAACCACAAGUGGUCGCCAGAAUCAGCCUCAGCCCGGAUCCCCCAUUCUGUCUUCUCCUGCGGUCACACCUCGAGCCUCUGCCGUUGCUUCUGUUCCUCGGACCUCCGCUUCAGAGGGCUGCACAUUCCUUUGGAGGAACCCACCAGUGACGCUACCAGCGUCUGCCUCACGCCAGGGACCUACCUCAAGCCCUGCUCACGCUCUGCCUCCAGAAUCUACCAUUAAAUCUCUGACCUGCCA
Molecule: long non-coding RNA, 673 nt
Organism: Oryzias latipes (Japanese medaka)
Lineage: Eukaryota; Metazoa; Chordata; Actinopteri; Beloniformes; Adrianichthyidae
Source: RefSeq, a predicted model, not a curated record